Molecule: long non-coding RNA, 624 nt
Organism: Gordionus sp. m RMFG-2023
Lineage: Eukaryota; Metazoa; Nematomorpha; Gordioida; Chordodea; Parachordodidae
Exons: 4
Source: RefSeq, a predicted model, not a curated record
GGACACAAAUAAAAAAUAAUCAAUUUUUUUUCGAUUUAUAAUUUUAUAUAAUAUAUAUAAAAAUUUUUUUUAAUAUUUCAAUGUUAUAUUUAUUAAAAAUUUAUCAUAAUAUUUAAACCUUAAUAUUUCAAAAAUCUACAUAAAAAAAAACUUUUUAAAUGUUACACAUUAAUUCUUUAUUAAUAAGGAUAUUCACCAUACUAGCCUUCAUUUGUUUAGCAACAAUUCAAUGUGGAUUACUUGAAGAAGAACGCACACAAGUUCAAUCUAAUAAAGAUCAAGAAAUGAAGAUGACUGACCAUGUUAGAAGUACAUAUUUACUGACUACAGAGAUUCCUCUUUACCAACGUAUUAUAGGAGGUUGAUUCAACAAGAUAAAAUGCUUUGGCACAAUUGUUUAUUUAGGAUGUGAUGUGAUGGGGAAAAAAAUUUUUACAUUUAAAAUUUAUAUAUGAUUAUAAUUAUUGGAAUUAAUAAAUUGUAAAAUUUUAAUCUAAAUUUUGCUGUUGUCCGAAAACCCAUUUUGGGUAAUCAUUAGGCUCAGAAAAUCUCAUUAAAAAAAUGAUAGAUAUCAGUUUUUUUUUGUAUCAUUUUUUGUUAUAAGAUAAAUUUUAUUUGUAUUUA